CACACGUCAUACAAUGGUCGGUACAGGUAGGGUUGACCCAACCCGCGAGGGGGAGCUAAUCCCACAAAGCCGAUCGUAGUCCGGAUCGCAGUCUGCAACUCGACUGCGUGAAGUCGGAAUCGCUAGUAAUCGUGGAUCAGCAUGUCACGGUGAAUACGUUCCCGGGUCUU
RNAcentral lists this ribosomal RNA (170 nucleotides) under uncultured Rhodocyclaceae bacterium. Its description in RNAcentral is "partial 16S ribosomal RNA". It matches the Rfam family "Bacterial small subunit ribosomal RNA", at positions 1217 to 1382 of the family's 1533-position model. Lineage: Bacteria; Pseudomonadati; Pseudomonadota; Betaproteobacteria; Rhodocyclales; Rhodocyclaceae. The record is from RNAcentral.